This 860-nucleotide ribosomal RNA is filed under the name Guptibacillus algicola. Its description in RNAcentral is "bacterial SSU rRNA". It matches the Rfam family "Bacterial small subunit ribosomal RNA", at positions 79 to 922 of the family's 1533-position model. Lineage: Bacteria; Bacillati; Bacillota; Bacilli; Caryophanales; Guptibacillaceae. The record is from RNAcentral.
UUGCUCCUAUUUCUCAGCGGCGGACGGGUGAGUAACACGUGGGCAACCUGCCCUGCAGACUGGGAUAACUCCGGGAAACCGGAGCUAAUACCGGGUAAUACAUAGCAUCGCAUGAUGCAACGUUGAAAGUUGGCUUUCGAGCUAACACUGUAGGAUGGGCCCGCGGCGCAUUAGCUAGUUGGUAAGGUAAUGGCUUACCAAGGCAACGAUGCGUAGCCGACCUGAGAGGGUGAUCGGCCACACUGGGACUGAGACACGGCCCAGACUCCUACGGGAGGCAGCAGUAGGGAAUCUUCCGCAAUGGACGAAAGUCUGACGGAGCAACGCCGCGUGAGUGACGAAGGCCUUCGGGUCGUAAAGCUCUGUUGUUAGGGAAGAACAAGUACCGUUCGAAUAGGGCGGUACCUUGACGGUACCUAACCAGAAAGCCACGGCUAACUACGUGCCAGCAGCCGCGGUAAUACGUAGGUGGCAAGCGUUGUCCGGAAUUAUUGGGCGUAAAGCGCGCGCAGGCGGUCUCUUAAGUCUGAUGUGAAAGCCCACGGCUCAACCGUGGAGGGCCAUUGGAAACUGGGGGACUUGAGUGCAGAAGAGGAGAGUGGAAUUCCACGUGUAGCGGUGAAAUGCGUAGAUAUGUGGAGGAACACCAGUGGCGAAGGCGGCUCUCUGGUCUGUAACUGACGCUGAGGCGCGAAAGCGUGGGGAGCGAACAGGAUUAGAUACCCUGGUAGUCCACGCCGUAAACGAUGAGUGCUAGGUGUUGGGGGGGUUCCACCCUCAGUGCUGAAGUUAACACAUUAAGCACUCCGCCUGGGGAGUACGACCGCAAGGUUGAAACUCAAAGGAAUUGACGGGGGCCC